AGAUUCGUAGCUCAGUUGGCUUGAGCGUUGGGUGAACUAAAGCCUUCCCCUUGACAGCGUGGGUUCAAAUCCCACCGAGGCCG
Molecule: transfer RNA, 83 nt
Filed under: Schistocephalus solidus
Lineage: Eukaryota; Metazoa; Platyhelminthes; Cestoda; Diphyllobothriidea; Diphyllobothriidae
Rfam family: tRNA
About the family: Transfer RNA (tRNA) molecules are approximately 80 nucleotides in length. Their secondary structure includes four short double-helical elements and three loops (D, anti-codon, and T loops). Further hydrogen bonds mediate the characteristic L-shaped molecular structure. tRNAs have two regions of fundamental functional importance: the anti-codon, which is responsible for specific mRNA codon recognition, and the 3' end, to which the tRNAs corresponding amino acid is attached (by aminoacyl-tRNA synthetases). tRNAs cope with the degeneracy of the genetic code in two manners: having more than one tRNA (with a specific anti-codon) for a particular amino acid; and 'wobble' base-pairing, i.e. permitting non-standard base-pairing at the 3rd anti-codon position.
Source: Rfam by way of RNAcentral